This 468-nucleotide ribosomal RNA is filed under the name uncultured bacterium. RNAcentral's name for it is "partial 16S ribosomal RNA". It matches the Rfam family "Bacterial small subunit ribosomal RNA", at positions 28 to 507 of the family's 1533-position model. The record is from RNAcentral.
GACGAACGCUGGCGGCGUGCUUAACACAUGCAAGUCGAACGGAAAGGCCCUGCUUUUGUGGGGUGCUCGAGUGGCGAACGGGUGAGUAACACGUGAGUAACCUGCCCUUGACUUUGGGAUAACUUCAGGAAACUGGGGCUAAUACCGGAUAGGAGCUCCUGCUGCAUGGUGGGGGUUGGAAAGUUUCGGCGGUUGGGGAUGGACUCGCGGCUUAUCAGCUUGUUGGUGGGGUAGUGGCUUACCAAGGCUUUGACGGGUAGCCGGCCUGAGAGGGUGACCGGACACAUUGGGACUGAGAUACGGCCCAGACUCCUACGGGAGGCAGCAGUGGGGAAUAUUGUACAAUGGGCGGAAGCAUGAUGCAGCAACGCCGCGUGCGGGAUGACGGCAUUCGGGUUGUAAACCGCUUUCGCCUGUGACGAAGCGUGAGUGACGGUAAUGGGUAAAGAAGCACCGGCUAACUACGUG